CUUCCUCCCCCAAAACUCUCAAAUUUUCUCCAAUUAUUGUCCAAGGAAAUCCAUAGAAUUUGGUUCACUUUUGGUGGAAUUUCAAUCUUAAGCAUUCAAAGGGUUAAAGAGAAAGAGAGUUGUACAAAGGGAAGACUAAAGUGUUUGUGUUGCUCACAUCUAAGGUAUUAGAUAAGAUGUGGUCGGAUGGAACGUCAGGUAAUAGAGAAGAAAGGCAACACUGUCUGAUUGUACUAAGUGUUUAUGUUUGUAACUUUGUUACUCGACAUAGAGAUUUGUAUAUAAAGUAAAGUUAUUUU
Molecule: long non-coding RNA, 299 nt
Organism: Pistacia vera
Lineage: Eukaryota; Viridiplantae; Streptophyta; Magnoliopsida; Sapindales; Anacardiaceae
Exons: 3
Source: RefSeq, a predicted model, not a curated record